RNAcentral lists this ribosomal RNA (253 nucleotides) under uncultured bacterium. Its description in RNAcentral is "partial 16S ribosomal RNA". It matches the Rfam family "Bacterial small subunit ribosomal RNA", at positions 524 to 776 of the family's 1533-position model. The record is from RNAcentral.
UACGUAGGAGGCGAGCGUUGUCCGGAGUUACUGGGCGUAAAGCGCACGUAGGCGGAUAUUUAAGUCAGGGGUGAAAUCCCAGAGCUCAACUCUGGAACUGCCUUUGAUACUGGGUAUCUCGAGUAUGGAAGAGGUGAGUGGAAUUCCGAGUGUAGAGGUGAAAUUCGUAGAUAUUCGGAGGAACACCAGUGGCGAAGGCGGCUCACUGGUCCAUUACUGACGCUGAGGUGCGAAAGCGUGGGGAGCAAACAGG